This is a long non-coding RNA of Suricata suricatta (meerkat), 981 nucleotides long. RefSeq lists it as uncharacterized. The record is from RefSeq and is a predicted model, not a curated record. Lineage: Eukaryota; Metazoa; Chordata; Mammalia; Carnivora; Herpestidae. The transcript is spliced from 4 exons.
GACAGUGGCUGAAGCUGACAGUGUCUCGCCAGCCAUCACGUCCCUGGAACAGUGGCCCAUCUCACCCCUGGGGGCGAUGACAGCAUCUGCUCAUAUCCCAGACCAAAGCUCAACAGAGCACAGGUGCCUCAGCCAUCCCACCACUGUUCAUUAACUUCCCCCUCUGCACCCGGCACUGGGGACCCAGCAGUGAACCGAAGAGGCUGUGCGGUCCACAAAGAGCGUGCGUGCAAAUAAAUCCGGGGUGUGCUCUCUGAGACAAGGGCUCUGGAGAAGAACAAGGGAAAUGAGAACAGGAGUGAGGCUUGGAAAAGAGAAAGAAGUUUGGGAAUAAGAAAGAUAAGGAUGUACCAUCUUGAGUCAUCGGAUCUGGAAGUAUCCUUGGAGGAACGGCACAGCCCAACUGCUACCUGUUAGAUGGGAGCCGAGGUCCAGAGACAGAUGAACCCAAAACCACACAGAAAUGUUGAGCUAUGUUAUCAGCUGAUCUGCUGAUUCAACAAGGUGCCCCUGCAGAGCCAGACACCCCCCAAGUGCCCUUUCCUCUUCCCACGGUCCACCCGAACAUGGCGUCGAACAUCUUCUGUUGCUGCUGCCAGGCCAACGAGGAGCCCUCUUCCACUGUUGACUCACGUAGUCCGAGAACAUCCCGGAGGCACCAGCCACGAUCCUGCAAUCUGAACAUGGAUUCUUGCACACAUGGUUUGAAGAAGAGACACCCACACCACCCUGCCAAUAUUUGGGUGCUAGAAACAUACACUACUGGGAGACCCUGAGCAUUCUAGUCGGCAGCCCCCACGAUGUGUGCCUGCCUGAGUGUCUCCGGGAGGAAGAGGGUGGUGAGCAGGAGCUAUGAAGAUGGAUUCAGAAACUCCCGGGGAGGAGGAGGAAACAUCUGAGCCAUUUCUGUGCCACCAACAAGAGUCGCUCUAGCCACGAUGGGAAGAGCUGCCUCCAAUUAAAGUCCUUGGUUGCAUCACA